Molecule: long non-coding RNA, 643 nt
Filed under: Setaria viridis
Lineage: Eukaryota; Viridiplantae; Streptophyta; Magnoliopsida; Poales; Poaceae
Description: long non-coding RNA (SVIR_LNC004105)
Source: RNAcentral
CUAUACUAGCAGUGCUAAUUACUGUUUCUCUAACACACACAAGAGAUUGAAGACUCGCUGAAUGCGAUUCUACAAUCGAAUGAGAGCCAGGGAGAUUGGAUGGACCACCACAUGUCCACACUCCACGAGUACACGAGACCACAACAACCUUCGGCCACAUCCCCAACCUCUGGAUUACGCGGAGUAGAUAACACCUCAGUUCCCCCACAGAAACCACGAGUACUGUUGAGACUUGAGAGUCGAUCGUACGUUGAUCGACUCUCAAGUCUGAAUAGUUGGAGACGACGACAUAUGCACGAUUUAUUAGCAACCAUCAUGUUCCAAACCAAAACGAUUUGCCAUCCCGGCUAAGAGUGCACAGGGUUUUUGUUGCGGAGUGGUCGGGCGGGACAGCAGACGGUGGGCGUUGGGACGUUGGUACUUGCAGGCUUGCAGCAAAGUUGACUUGCACCGUUGCACCGGCAGCAUGGUGGCGCGGCGCUCCGCAUCUGACAUCACCAUUCUCAGGUGAGGCGGCCGCGCGAGCGAGUGGGAGGACGCCGCGCGGAGCCAGCGGUCCAUACUGGCCCAUAGGCCAUACCUCGUCAGCAGCGUAAAGCUCGCAGGAAACGGGCUCUCAACUCAUGAUUCUUAGGCCUAUUUC